GUGCUCACUUUGGCAGCACAUAGACUAAAACUGGAAUGAUGCAGAGAAGACUAACAUGGCCCCAGUGCAAGGAUGACAUGCAAAUUCAUGAAGCAUUCUACAUUUUU
This is a small nuclear RNA of Neofelis nebulosa (Clouded leopard), 107 nucleotides long. The record is from RefSeq and is a predicted model, not a curated record. NCBI's taxonomy places the organism in Eukaryota, Metazoa, Chordata, Mammalia, Carnivora, Felidae.